RNAcentral lists this ribosomal RNA (428 nucleotides) under uncultured eukaryote. Its description in RNAcentral is "SSU rRNA". It matches the Rfam family "Eukaryotic small subunit ribosomal RNA", at positions 592 to 1018 of the family's 1831-position model. The record is from RNAcentral.
CAGUAGCGUAUAUUAAAGUUGUUGCAGUUAAAAGCUCGUAGUUGGAUUUCUGCUUGUAGCGUUGGGUCAGCUGGGGUUACCUAUGCGAGUACCUGUUCGCUCCUUGCAUCCUUCUAGAGAACGGUUCUCUCCUUCAUUGGCAGUGGGAUCGCAAUCUAGAUCUUUUACUUUGAAAAAUUAGAGUGUUUAAAGCAGGCUUGUGCUAUGAAUACAUUAGCAUGGAAUAAUAAUUUAGGACUUUAGUUCUAUUUUGUUGGUUUCUAGGACUGAAGUAAUGAUUGAUAGGGAUAGUUGGGGGUGCUAGUAUUCAGCGGCCAGAGGUGAAAUUCUUGGAUUCGCUGAAGACUAACUUAUGCGAAAGCAUUCACCAAGGAUGUCUUCUUUAAUCAAGAACGAAAGUUGGGGGAUCGAAGACGAUCAGAUACCAU